Molecule: ribosomal RNA, 511 nt
Filed under: uncultured bacterium
Lineage: Bacteria
Description: bacterial SSU rRNA
Rfam family: Bacterial small subunit ribosomal RNA
Source: RNAcentral
GCUCCUCUGACGUUAGCGGCGGACGGGUGAGUAACAUGUGGAUAACCUACCUAUAAGACUGGGAUAACUUCGGGAAACCGGAGCUAAUACCGGAUAAUAUAUUGAACCGCAUGGUUCAAUAGUGAAAGACGGUUUUGCUGUCACUUAUAGAUGGAUCCGCGCCGCAUUAGCUAGUUGGUAAGGUAACGGCUUACCAAGGCAACGAUGCGUAGCCGACCUGAGAGGGUGAUCGGCCACACUGGAACUGAGACACGGUCCAGACUCCUACGGGAGGCAGCAGUAGGGAAUCUUCCGCAAUGGGCGAAAGCCUGACGGAGCAACGCCGCGUGAGUGAUGAAGAUCUUCGGAUCGUAAAACUCUGUUAUUAGGGAAGAACAAAUGUGUAAGUAACUAUGCACGUCUUGACGGUACCUAAUCAGAAAGCCACGGCUAACUACGUGCCAGCAGCCGCGGUAAUACGUAGGUGGCAAGCGUUAUCCGGAAUUAUUGGGCGUAAAGCGCGCGUAGGCGG